RNAcentral lists this small nuclear RNA (181 nucleotides) under Ophiophagus hannah (king cobra). RNAcentral's name for it is "7SK RNA". It matches the Rfam family "7SK RNA", at positions 1 to 189 of the family's 331-position model. From Rfam's summary of the family: 7SK was discovered as an abundant small nuclear RNA in the mid-70s but a possible function has only recently been suggested. Two independent studies have found that 7SK RNA binds the CDK9/cyclin T complex (known as elongation factor P-TEFb). The record is from Rfam by way of RNAcentral. Lineage: Eukaryota; Metazoa; Chordata; Lepidosauria; Squamata; Elapidae.
GGAUGUGAGAGUGAUCAGGCCUCACAACAUCUUGUUACUCCACUGAUUGCUAGGAUUGAUUUGCUUGAUCUGGCUAGCUAGGCGGGUGUUGCCUUCCUCCCUCAUCAUGCCUUCCCAAAGCUGUGCGCUUGAUGGAAGAGAUGACUGUCCCAGAUAGGAAUGUACCAGUGUUUGGUUAAGU